RNAcentral lists this ribosomal RNA (294 nucleotides) under uncultured bacterium. RNAcentral's name for it is "partial 16S ribosomal RNA". It matches the Rfam family "Bacterial small subunit ribosomal RNA", at positions 775 to 1067 of the family's 1533-position model. The record is from RNAcentral.
GGAUUAGAUACCCUGGUAGUCCACGCCGUAAACGAUGAGUGCUAGAUGUCGCGGGCAUUGACCCCUGCGGUGUCGUAGCUAACGCAUUAAGCACUCCGCCUGGGGAGUACGGCCGCAAGGCUAAAACUCAAAGGAAUUGACGGGGGCCCGCACAAGCGGUGGAGCAUGUGGUUUAAUUCGAUGCAACGCGCAGAACCUUACCUGGGCUAGAAACGGCAAGAAUCUGGGUGAAAACUCGGAGUGCCCUCGGGAAUUUGUCGCUAGGUGCUGCAUGGCUGUCGUCAGCUCGUGCUG